UACGAAGGGGGCGAGCGUUGUUCGGAAUCACUGGGCGUAAAGAGUGCGUAGGCGGUUAUGAAAGUUAGGAGUGAAAGCCCAGGGCUCAACCUUGGAAUUGCUUUUAAAACUACAUAACUCGAAUUCGGGAGAGGAUAGCGGAAUUGUCAGUGUAGCAGUGAAAUGCGUAGAUAUUGACAGGAACACCAGUGGCGUAAGCGGCUAUCUGGACCGACAUUGACGCUGAGGCACGAAAGCGUGGGGAUCAAACAGG
This 253-nucleotide ribosomal RNA is filed under the name uncultured bacterium. Its description in RNAcentral is "partial 16S ribosomal RNA". It matches the Rfam family "Bacterial small subunit ribosomal RNA", at positions 524 to 776 of the family's 1533-position model. The record is from RNAcentral.